RNAcentral lists this ribosomal RNA (397 nucleotides) under uncultured bacterium. RNAcentral describes it as "partial 16S ribosomal RNA". It matches the Rfam family "Bacterial small subunit ribosomal RNA", at positions 523 to 918 of the family's 1533-position model. The record is from RNAcentral.
AUACGUAGGUGGCAAGCGUUGUCCGGAAUUACUGGGUGUAAAGGGCGUGUAGGCGGGGAUGCAAGUCAGAUGUGAAAUUCCGGGGCUCAACCCCGGCAAUGCAUCUGAAACUGUGUCUCUUGAGUGCUGGAGAGGAAAGCGGAAUUCCUAGUGUAGCGGGGAAAUGCGUAGAUAUUAGGAGGAACACCAGUGGCGAAGGCGGCUUUCUGGACAGUAACUGACGCUGAGGCGCGAAAGCGUGGGUAGCGAACAGGAUUAGAUACCCUGGUAGUCCACGCCGUAAACGAUGGAUACUAGGUGUAGGAGGUAUCGACCCCUUCUGUGCCGGAGUUAACGCAAUAAGUAUCCCACCUGGGGAGUACGGCCGCAAGGUUGAAACUCAAAUGAAUUGACGGGG